GAGUUUGAUCAUGGCUCAGAACGAACGGUGGCGGCAUGCCUAACACAAACAAGUCGAACGCCUGUAGCAAUNCAAGAAUAGAAAAAGGGUGAGUAACACGUGGGAAUCUACCCAGUAGCUCGGAAUAACCGCGGGAAACUGCGGCUAAUACCGGAUAAAACCCGAGGGGGAAAGGAGCAAUCCACUAUUGGAGGAGCCCGCGUCUGAUUAGCUAGUUGGCGGGGUAACGGCCCACCAAGGCGACGAUCAGUAGCUGGUUUGAGAGAACGACCAGCCACACUGGGACUGAGACACGGCCCAGACUCCUACGGGAGGCAGCAGUGGGGAAUAUUGGACAAUGGGGGAAACCCUGAUCCAGCAAUGCCGCGUGGGUGAUGAAGGCGGUCGGGUUGUAAAGCCCUUUUGGCGGGGACGAUGAUGACGGGGCCCGCCGAAUAAGCUCCGGCUAACUUCGUGCCAGCAGCCGCGGUAAAAGGGCG
Molecule: ribosomal RNA, 479 nt
Filed under: uncultured Alphaproteobacteria bacterium
Lineage: Bacteria; Pseudomonadati; Pseudomonadota; Alphaproteobacteria
Description: bacterial SSU rRNA
Rfam family: Bacterial small subunit ribosomal RNA
Source: RNAcentral